UCCGCCCCGGCGGAUCCCAGCCGGUUCCCGGGCUCCGAGGGGUCGCGCGCCGCUCCCGGCGGGGCGGAGGGGGCGGGCUGGACCGCGGCCGCUGGCCCGGGCCGUACUCACGCCCCGGGCCGGGGGAGCGCACCCGCCAUGGAGGUGGAGGAGGCGUUCCAGGCGGUGGGGGAGAUGGGCGUCUACCAGAUGUACUUGUGCUUCCUUCUGGCGGUGCUGCUGCAGCUCUACGUGGCCACAGAGGCGAUCCUCAUUGCCCUGGUUGGGGCCACGCCAUCGUACCACUGGGACCUGGCCGAGCUCCUGCCAAAUCAGAGCCGCAGCAACCACUCAGCUGCUGAAGAGCGAGCCUUCGGGGACUGGCUGCUCACAGCCAAUGGCAGCGAGAUCCAUAAGCACGUGCAUUUCAGCAGCAGCUUCACCUCGAUCGCCUCUGAGUGGUUUUUAAUUGUCAACAAAUCUUACAAAGUCAGUGCAGCAAGCUCUUUUUUCUUCAGUGGUGUGUUUGUGGGAGUUAUCUCUUUUGGCCAACUUUCAGAUCGCUUUGGAAGGAAAAAAGUCUAUCUCACAGGUUUUGCUCUUGACAUCUUAUUUGCUAUUGCAAAUGGAUUUUCCCCCUCAUAUGAGUUUUUUGCAAUAACUCGCUUCCUGGUGGGCAUAAUGAAUGGAGGGAUGUCACUGGUGGCCUUUGUCUUGCUGAACGAGUGUGUUGGCACCGCCUACUGGGCACUGGCAGGAUCGAUCGGAGGCCUCUUCUUUGCAGUUGGCAUCGCCCAGUAUGCCCUGUUAGGAUACUUUAUCCGCUCCUGGAGGACGCUUGCUAUUAUGGUUAACCUGCAGGGAACAGCGGUCUUUUUCUUAUCUUUAUUCAUUCCUGAAUCACCUCGUUGGUUAUACUCCCAGGGUCGACUGAGUGAGGCCGAAGAGGCCCUGUACCUCAUUGCCAGGAGGAACCGCAAGCUCAAGUGUACGUUCUCACUAACAUAUCCAGCCAACAGAAGCUACAAGGAGACUGGAAGUUUCCUGGACCUGUUCCGCUACCGGAUCCUCUUAGGACACACCCUGAUCCUGAUGUUCAUCUGGUUUGUGUGCAGUUUGGUGUAUUAUGGCCUAACUCUGAGUGCAGGUGAUCUAGGUGGAAAUAUUUAUGUCAACCUGGCCCUAUCUGGCCUCAUCGAGAUUCCUUCUUACCCUAUCUGCAUCUACUUGAUGAACCAAAAAUGGUUUGGUCGGAAGCGGACUUUAGCAGCAUUUCUGUGCCUAGGAGGACUGGCCUGUCUUAUCGUAAUGUUUCUUCCAGAAAAGAAAGGCACAGGUGUGUUUGCAGUGGUGAACAGCCGUUCCUUGUCCUUGCUGGGGAAGCUGACGAUCAGUGCUGCCUUUAACAUUGUUUAUAUCUACACCUCCGAGCUUUACCCUACCGUCAUCAGGAAUGUUGGGCUUGGAACUUGUUCCAUGUUCUCCCGAGUUGGUGGGAUUAUUGCUCCCUUCAUCCCCUCACUGGUUGAAAUACGUGCAGUGGUCUUUACCUUUCAUUGUCUUUGGAACCACUGGCCUGACCUCCGGCCUCCUGAGCUUAUUAUUGCCAGAAACCCUUAACAGUCCAUUGUUAGAGACCUUCUCUGACCUUCAGAUGUACUCCUAUCGGAGGCUGGGGGACGAAGCAUUAUCUUUACAGACCUUGGAUAUCCCACAGUCUGCAGACAAGGAGAGCACUUUAGGGAGCGAGAGUGAGGAAGAGGAAGAGUUUUAUGAUGCAGAUGAAGAGACUCAAAUGAUCAAGUGAAGACCCCCAGAUUUCAGAUUUCGUCUCAGAAUCAGAGGAUCAUCUUUUUUGCCUCUGCCUAAGGCAGAUUCUCCUACAAAACUUACGAGCUGUAGAAAGACAGGCUCAAAAAUACAUAGAUGGUACUCAGCAUGGAAUGAUUUUUUAAGGCACAAAGAAAGUUGGAGAAGAGAUUUCAUGAGAUGACAAUCACUGCAUUGAGGGAUCUGUUGUUAAUGUUUCCAAAAUUCAGGUUUAGCUGAGAAUCCUGGCCUCUGGCCAAACAGCUCAAAUCCAUGUUCCAGAGUGGUAGGCAGAUUUGUCUAUAAAAAUUUGGUCUUCUUGUUUUCCUUUCAUCAUGACCUAAAAGCUGAUACUUUAAAUUUCUCACUAUUUUAAUAGGAUAAGUCAUUCUAAUGAUUGAAUCUUGAUACCAUAUUUGACAUCUACCCCCACCAGUCAUUCCUAACCAGGAAUCUUUGGAGGCAGGUUGUUGUCAGGAUUUCAAUUCUGUGUUGGAGGAACAGAACUAAGAGGUCUUUUGCGUGGCCCUCCAGCUUUACCUUCACUGAAGACAUUUGUAUUCUCAGCUUGGUUCCCAGCCUGUUAGCUGUCAGAGCUGUUUGUGUCUUUAGUUCCAUAGAUGAUUGACUAGUAGAAGCCCAACUUUACCAAAGCAAUUUUCUGUAGAGUCAGAGGUGUAGCUCCCUUUGAUAUUCAAAUUGUUUAAUCUUUUUAGUUUCCACUUGUAUGUACCUCCAGAAAAAUGUCCAUCUGAGAUUGUUACCAGCAAUAACCUCAAAAUCAUGCAUGGUAAAUGUUAAGCUUUAUAAAGGUGGAGGGCAGUUAAAAAGUGACAUGUUGAACGUUUGAAUGUUUAAAAAAAAGGGCAAUUUUUGAUGAGGAAGAAAGGAAAAUUAUCUUUCAUGAAUUUUUGGUUUGUUUAGCUUUCAGUUUUGUGCAAUAAGGGACUUGGAUAACAUUUAAGAACUUGAACUCUUCUUGUCUUAGAUCAGCCCCUGCCUAUUUAGUUAGAAUGGAAGGCACAGUAAUUUCAUAGGAAACAUAGAUUUUUUUCAUAAAGUACUACCAACUUUCAAGUAUAUUAGUAUCAUUCUUAGUUUCCUAAAGUCACAUGUUGAAAAUAUGUGUCCCUGUGAUACUUGAAUAUUGUCUCAAAUAGGAGUAUUAACCUGGACUAGUCAGCUUGGGCAGCAUGGCUUUAGGUCAUCACUUCCCCAACUAGGAUGAUUUCUGUGUUUUCAGAAUUGCAUUUCUACUCACAUCUUGGAGAAAAAGAAAAUGCCUUAGGGGUAAAGAGAAGACGUCACUGUGGCUGCUACUGAAAAUCUUAGAGGCAUCACCUCCAAAUACUCUCCUGUUCUCUUCCACAGUGACUUCUUGGUUUGCACUGUAUCAGUCUGUACCUUUGUGUUUGUUAAAGUAUUUUUGUGUCCUUUAUGACAGUCUUCAUGCCCUUUAUUAAUUAUUGGACUUUUCAUAGACUGAGGCCAUGUGUACUGUGGUUUCUUUCUCUCUGCUGUGCCCAUAAUACAGCCCUAGACAUAGUGAGCAUCUCUUGAAUAUGGCUGUUUCCAACCUUCAGGGAAGUUGUGGAUCCCUGCCCAGAAGCAUUCUUGCAAAUCCUGGGCAAUUCCAACCCAAACCCCCAAGCUGUGGAAUCCUGCUUGGCUUUCCCUGGAUAUUGGAGAGCCUGCCCACCAUCAGGAGAGGAAGAGAGGAAGAAUUUACAAGGACGCGCAAAAGCUUUUCCUCAGCGAUUGGACAUUAAAAGUAAAACAGUAAACUAACAUAUAUAUAAUGUUUUAGUGGAAGCCCUUCAUACUGUAAGAGUAAAUACAUCUCAUUAUAGAAAAUUUGGAAGAUAGAAGGAAAAAAUGUUAUCACCCUUAGGCCCAACACCCAACAAACACCAGUGUUAAUGGGUUUGUUCCAAUUGAUGACCAAUUAGGGGUGUUUCUCUCUGUUGGCACCAGGGUUCCCUCUGCUUCUGGCUGUAUAAAUGAAGAUCUAAUCA
RNA transcript from Choloepus didactylus (southern two-toed sloth), 3803 nucleotides. It is a transcript of the gene named solute carrier family 22 member 15, with no coding region annotated. NCBI's taxonomy places the organism in Eukaryota, Metazoa, Chordata, Mammalia, Pilosa, Megalonychidae. The record is from RefSeq and is a predicted model, not a curated record. The transcript is spliced from 12 exons.